RNAcentral lists this transfer RNA (66 nucleotides) under Dryops luridus. Its description in RNAcentral is "tRNA-Pro". Lineage: Eukaryota; Metazoa; Arthropoda; Insecta; Coleoptera; Dryopidae. The record is from RNAcentral. RNAcentral also lists the same sequence under 1 other name.
CAGAAAAUAGUUUAAAUAAAAUAUUAAUUUUGGAGAUUAAUGAUAUGAAGAAUUUCUUUUUUCUGA